AGAGUUUGAUCAUGGCUCAGGAUGAACGCUGGCGGCGUGCUUAACACAUGCAAGUCGAACGGAUCAGCUUUCGGGCUGGUUAGUGGCGGACGGGUGCGUAACAUGUGGGUGAUCUGCCCCAAAGUGGGGAAUAAUCCCGCUAACGCGGGACUAAUACCGCAUGAGGUCGGCCAUUCGUUUGGUUGACCAAAGUCGCGAGACGCUUUGGGAUGAGCCUGCGGCGGAUUAGCUAGUUGGUGAGGUAAAGGCUCACCAAGGCGAUGAUCCGUAGGGGGCGUGAGAGCGUGGCCCCCCACACUGGCACUGAGAUACGGGCCAGACUCCUACGGGAGGCAGCAGUGAGGAAUAUUGCCCAAUGGGCGAAAGCUUGAGGCAGCAACGCCGCGUGAGGGACGAAGGCCUUCGGGUCGUAAACCUCUUUUCUGAGGGACGAGAUCAGGACGGUACCUCGGGAAUAAGUCUCGGCUAACUACGUGCCAGCAGCCGCGGUAAAACGUAGGAGGCGAGCGUUAUCCGGAUUUACUGGGCGUAAAGCGCACGCAGGCGGCGCUGAAAGUUGGACGUGAAAGCUCCUGGCUUAACUGGGAGAGGUCGUUCAAUACUACAGGGCUUGAGGUUGGAAGAGGAGAGCGGAAUUCCCGGUGUAGUGGUGGAAUGCGUAGAUAUCGGGAGGAACUCCAGUGGCGAAAGCGGCUCUCUGGUCCACCCCUGACGCUGAGGUGCGAAAGCGUGGGGAGCGAACGGGAUUA
This 749-nucleotide ribosomal RNA is filed under the name uncultured bacterium. Its description in RNAcentral is "bacterial SSU rRNA". It matches the Rfam family "Bacterial small subunit ribosomal RNA", at positions 8 to 780 of the family's 1533-position model. The record is from RNAcentral.